RNAcentral lists this ribosomal RNA (253 nucleotides) under uncultured bacterium. RNAcentral's name for it is "partial 16S ribosomal RNA". It matches the Rfam family "Bacterial small subunit ribosomal RNA", at positions 524 to 776 of the family's 1533-position model. The record is from RNAcentral.
UACGGAGGGGGCGAGCGUUAUUCGGAAUUAUUGGGCGUAAAGGGCGCGUAGGCGGCUUUGCAAGUGACGGGUGAAAUCCCUCGGCUUAACCGAGGAACUGCCUGUCAGACUGCAUGGCUUGAGACCAGGAGAGGUGAGUGGAAUUCCCAGUGUAGCGGUGAAAUGCGUAGAUAUUGGGAGGAACACCAGUGGCGAAGGCGGCUCACUGGACUGGUACUGACGCUGAGGCGCGAAAGCGUGGGGAGCAAACAGG